GUGGGGGAUAACCAUUGGAAACGAUGGCUAAUACCGCAUAAUGCCUACGGGCCAAAGAGGGGGACCUUCGGGCCUCUCGCGUCAGGAUAUGCCUAGGUGGGAUUAGCUAGUUGGUGAGGUAAUGGCUCACCAAGGCGACGAUCCCUACCUGGUCUGAGAGGAUGAUCACCCACACUGGAACUGAGACACGGUCCAGACUCCUACGGGAGGCAGCAGUGGGGAAUAUUGCACAAUGGGCGCAAGCCUGAUGCAGCCAUGCCGCGUGUGUGAAGAAGGCCUUCGGGUUGUAAAGCACUUUCAGUCGGGAGGAAGGUAGUGUAGUUAAUAGCUGCAUUAUUUGACGUUACCGACAGAAGAAGCACCGGCUAACUCCGUGCCAGCAGCCGCGGUAAUACGGAGGGUGCGAGCGUUAAUCGGAAUUACUGGGCGUAAAGCGCAUGCAGGUGGUUUGUUAAGUCAGAUGUGAAAGCCCGGGGCUCAACCUCGGAAUUGCAUUUGAAACUGGCAGACUAGAGUACUGUAGAGGGGGGUAGAAUUUCAGGUGUAGCGGUGAAA
RNAcentral lists this ribosomal RNA (555 nucleotides) under uncultured Vibrionaceae bacterium. RNAcentral's name for it is "bacterial SSU rRNA". It matches the Rfam family "Bacterial small subunit ribosomal RNA", at positions 136 to 686 of the family's 1533-position model. The record is from RNAcentral. Lineage: Bacteria; Pseudomonadati; Pseudomonadota; Gammaproteobacteria; Vibrionales; Vibrionaceae.